The sequence is a small RNA, 73 nucleotides long. It matches the Rfam family "bZIP non canonical Hac1/Xbp1 intron". From Rfam's summary of the family: bZIP intron RNA is a non-canonical intron that was first reported in HAC1 gene in yeast and XBP1 gene in Metazoa. The record is from Rfam.
CGUCUCCCCCGACCUGACACAACAUCCUGCCGAGGUGUUGUGCUCCGACCUGCAGUGUCGGUCGGCGGAGGCG